Molecule: small RNA, 213 nt
Filed under: Simiduia aestuariiviva
Lineage: Bacteria; Pseudomonadati; Pseudomonadota; Gammaproteobacteria; Cellvibrionales; Cellvibrionaceae
Description: RgsA sRNA
Source: RNAcentral
CGCCCAAGGUAUCUAGUCCAAAAUUGUUUAAUAGCUAGGUAUUCUGCACUGGAAAAACACACGCCUUGAACAAUACUUAAACAUACCGGUGUUGCUCUCCCCCCUUUUAAAUGCAGCAUCGGUGGCUAUGCGAAUAGCUAGUUUCAAGGAUUUAUCCUUUAUGUUUCACUCCUAAAAUGGUCUUGGCCCGGCAUUCCCCCCCAGAAAUGCCGG